AUAUGAAUUAUCUGGGGAUUUUUCCCAAAAGCAAAUUCUGAUUCAGUAUACAUACAGUGCAUUGAAGCCUGAGAUUCUGCAAUCCUAACAAGCUCCCAGGUGAUUCCAUU
Molecule: microRNA precursor, 110 nt
Filed under: Marmota monax (woodchuck)
Lineage: Eukaryota; Metazoa; Chordata; Mammalia; Rodentia; Sciuridae
Source: RNAcentral